AUUGAACGCUGGCGGCAGGCCUAACACAUGCAAGUCGAGCGGAGCGGCGGACGGGUGAGUAAUGCAUAGGAAUCUGCCUGGCAGUGGGGGAUAACGUCCGGAAACGGGCGCUAAUACAGCAUAAUAUGAGAUGAGACUAGGGCGGAUUCGCUAGUUGGUGGGGUAAAGGCCUACCAAGGCGACGAUCCGUAACUGGUCUGAGAGGCUGAUCAGUCACCCUGGAACUGAGACACGGUCCAGACUCCUACGGUAGGCAGCAGGGGGGAAUAUUGGACAAUGGGCGAAAGCCUGAUCCAGCCAUGCCGCGUGUGUGAAGAAGGUCUUCGGAUUGUAAAGCACUUUAAGUUGGGAGGCGUUACCAACAGAAUAAGCACCGGCUAACUUCGUGCCAGCAGCCGCGGUAAUUC
Molecule: ribosomal RNA, 407 nt
Filed under: uncultured bacterium
Lineage: Bacteria
Description: partial 16S ribosomal RNA
Rfam family: Bacterial small subunit ribosomal RNA
Source: RNAcentral